ACAAAAUCAAACCAUCUCAUUUUGGUCAGUGGAAGGCGACUAUGGGAAUUCGUGACGCAAAAGGGAGUCUAAGAGCUGUCACUUAGAAGGGAAAAAGGAUGGGUGGAAUUAGAAGCUCAGCAAAUUCUGAAUCUUAUCUGGAAGCUUGCUGACCCAGAACUAAAAUGUGACCUGGAGAACAGAUUGUGCUUGAUUUCAGUGACUAAUCAAAGUUGUCAGCUAUACAGAUGUGAAGGCCUCACAGAGAGAGAAGUGAUCUUUCCUUCCUUGGACAUUAUCAUUCUCACGGCAAUCCUCUUUCGGAGCAGUGGGGUGGCACCUUCUACUCACUCUCCUUGAAGGACUGUUCAGGUAGUAUACAAAGCAGACAACCACUCCUCUUUAUGGUUGGUUCUUGAUGCUUCGAAAGCACACAUCCGUAUUUGAAAUAAAUGCAACCCAGGGCUUCAUUUUGUCACCCACAUGGGCUUCUGCAUCGUGACCACUUCCAACACCAGCUAUGCUUCCUUUUCAAGCCUCUCCUCUCCUGCACGUGUCUUCCUAAAAUGACCUUGCUCUAUGCUAACCAGGCAUGUUCUCCAGACACACGAACAAAAAGACUAGGAGUGGAAGACAUUCUCAGUUUUUCAGGCAGUAUAAAUAAGACAUAAUCAACAAGUGAAAUUCCCAGCUCUGUUUGUGUACAUCUGCACCAUGUGACCUGGGUUUUCUUCUUGCAGCUGACUGGAGAACUAAGUGCUUGCUGUGCAACACAGAUUGCAUAUUUGGAAAACAAGCCCAUAUCUACAUGACUGUAUGGAUUGAGAACAGGUAAGAUAUUAUAUCUCAUCAGAAUGUGUGGCUGUCAAAACUACUGUGCAUGCUGAUAAAUUUCAAGGUUUUAAAAGCACACUGUAAACAGCAGCUAGUAAUAACAAAAGUAGAAAUGGUUGUGGGAGGGAAUUCUACAUGUAAAGAAAAAAAAAGUGCAAUCUUCAACUGAGCAGAAAAUUAGUUUUGUCCUCAUGUUAUUCUAGCAGAGUGGCAAAACAGCCUUCAUUCAUUUUGUCUUUUAAUAUGCAAAUGAUAAACAGAAGCCUAUAUUUGUGGACAUAAAAUCAUUUUAUACUGCACAAAAGAUUGCACAUUAACCCCAUUAGCAGUGACUGUACAUCCACUAUUGUUCUGCUCAACACUUCAGAAGACAUAAAUUCUUAUCUAUCCACUGUGACUUCUAAAUUUUGAGUUUUUCAGGGACAAAAUUUCUUUUGUCAAGACAGACAUUUCUGGAGCUAACCUAUCCUUCUGUGGAGAUAAACAUUAAACAACAAAAAUCUUCUGUGAUCCAAUUUUCUGAAUCUUUAAAGGAAAGAGUUACCUUUUCCUUCUUGGAUGAGAAUCAGGAUAUGCCUUAAAACCAGGUGAAUGAAGAAAUCUGAACACAUUCCACAGUGCUUUCAAGGAAAGGGACAAAUGUCUCGCUGUUCAACCAUCUUUGCUUCCUUUCAGAAAACAAAGGAUAUCAGAGACUCUGCUUAAAUGUUGGGUACUGCAGGCUUCAGCCAAGAGGUGGCGUUAAGAUGCAAUGCAAUGUUGUCUUAGCAAUAAAAUAUUACCUGUUUUAACAGUAGUAUGCCUGAUGCUUAGAGGUACACAAACCAGUUAAGGAAAUAGAAAAUACACUGUAGGUGAGCAAAGGAAUUCGACAGGAAUUCAAUUGGUCUGAGUUGGGACUGAAAAACUAGAGUAACUUAUGCCUUAAGUAACCACUUGUAAGGUAUACCAAAGAUUCUUACACUUUGUAAAUUAGAAUGCAGCCGUGCAAAUGUGAACCAGCAGCUGGAUACAGCUGCUAUUUUAGAUGUUAGGUAAGAUACUUAGACGCUUGAGGGAUUAGGACUAGAUGAUCUUUAAGGUUCCUUCCAACCCAAGCCAUCCUAUGAUUCUUAUAUUAUUCUUAACCGUACUUGGAAUGAUGAAUUUUUUUAGGCAUGCCUCCUCAUCAUAAAAAAAGACAAGUAUUUACAAACCAAACAAAUGAAGCCAGACCUAAUUUGAAAACAAAACUAUACUCCCAUUUAACACUGGAAUGCAAACUCUUUGAUGCAGAUGAGUCAACAGCAGCUGUAUUAACAAAUGAAGGUUCAGUCCAUUGAAACACUACUAUUCCAAAUAAUCUUACAAAAAAAGGGGUUAUAGAUGAAACUGGUGAUACCAAGGUGUUGAAUUCCUCAUAGAAAUACGGUACUGGUAUGCAUAAUGUUAGCAGGUCUGCAAGCCAUCACAUCCUUUUUUUUUUUUUUUUUUGUUCCCCUAGUCAUUUAUACUGUUUUCUGUCUGUUUCCUGUUAUUAUCUCACCCAACAGUGAGCUUUCAAAACCUAGAGUAGAUGAAAUAUAAUCAAAUCAGUUGAGUUACACUAUAUUAAACUAACUGAGGGUUUGACUCCUUGUCCUCAUCUGAGUGAAAGUGCCUCAGAAGUGCUAUUGUUGAUUCAGUAUUAAACCUGGGUCUGAAUUUUGUGGUUGUAGACCAUGCUUACUUUGGUAUAGAAAUAAGAAUUAGUGCAGAUAAAGUUAUUAACAUUCUUUUUAGUUUAUAAGUAAAAAAAAGCUGUGUACAUCUUAUUUCAACAUCAGUUGUUAGUCAGAAAAUACUUCAGGAAUGACUAGCAUGGCUGCUAUCAGUCAUCAGAAACCUUCAAGUGAUGGUAUAACAAGGAGAUUCAGGUUAUUCCUAGACUGAAGGGUAUCAGUUCUUGAUCAUCUGUCUAUCGGUAGAAGUUAUUUGAUUACAUGAUUACAUAGGCAUUUUUGUACACUAUGUUUUCUGUUAUUUGGUCACUCGAUUUUUCUAUGCAAAUGGUGAAAUCAAGUGAAUUUCAAGGAACAAAGCCAUGUCACUGUACUGCUGCAUACUCUUCAGUAAGCCAUGUGUCUGUAUGGGAGAUGGUAUGAAUACUGAUGAAAGUGUAUGUCUCAUGUGCUAUACCUAGAGAUAACUACAAUAUAUGGACAAAAACUAUUUUUGACUGUGAAGGAAGAAGUAAUCACUCAGAAGCACAGUACUCCAGUUGCAUUUGAAGGACACUGACUCCAUCUUCAUCCAAAACACUUUAGUGAUUACUGCUACAUGUCACAGCAAAUCAGAGCUUGUACAAGUGCUCCAAACAAUGUUUCAGACAUGCAGGACUAGCUGCUGAUUGGAGUGAGGCCAAAUAGACUGCAUUCAAAAAGCAGCUCUACUUUAAAAAAAAAAAAAGUGAAUAUUUAUAAGGGCACUGGAGAAAGCCUCUAAGCAACCCUGAUCAGAUUUUGCAGAGGCAUGAAACCCUGUCAUUUGCUACAAGGAUAUGGAGCAAGUGACAACUCAGCACUUCAGCACAAGGUAUGUAUAGACCUUGAUCUCCUUGCAGAAUCACAGUUUUUAGUAUCUAUGAAAGUUCAACUCUGCAAAGAGAACCUGGCUGGAACGAUGAAGCAUUAUAAUAAGGCAAAAGUUUUUUUUUAAUAUUAGAGGUUCCUGCUCUCGUAUGCUCUAAAGCUAACUUUUGAAACUAUAAUUUCAGAUGGUAAAACAUAAGAAAUAGAAAUUUUAGCCACUGGAAAUUUUGACUGGCAUCUGUGCUGAGAAGGCCUUUCCAGCUUAACUGAACUGUGCUAGAGACAUGUAAGACUGACCUGCGAAAAAAAACAACCAAAAACUAAAAAACAAACCCAACUGAAAUCUGUUUUGGA
This is a long non-coding RNA of Lagopus muta (rock ptarmigan), 3716 nucleotides long. RefSeq lists it as uncharacterized. The record is from RefSeq and is a predicted model, not a curated record. Lineage: Eukaryota; Metazoa; Chordata; Aves; Galliformes; Phasianidae. The transcript is spliced from 9 exons.